Molecule: transfer RNA, 67 nt
Filed under: Crocidura palawanensis (Palawan shrew)
Lineage: Eukaryota; Metazoa; Chordata; Mammalia; Eulipotyphla; Soricidae
Description: tRNA-Cys
Rfam family: tRNA
About the family: Transfer RNA (tRNA) molecules are approximately 80 nucleotides in length.
Source: RNAcentral
AGUCCUGUAGUGAAAAAUCAUAUUGAAUUGCAAAUUCAAAGAAGCAGCUUCAAUUCUGCCGGGGCUU